GACGAACGCUGGCGGCGUGCCUAAUACAUGCAAGUUGAGCGCUGAAGGUUGGUACUUGUACCAACUGGAUGAGCAGCGAACGGGUGAGUAACGCGUGGGGAAUCUGCCUUUGAGCGGGGGACAACAUUUGGAAACGAAUGCUAAUACCGCAUAAAAACUUUAAACACAAGUUUUAAGUUUGAAAGAUGCAAUUGCAUCACUCAAAGAUGAUCCCGCGUUGUAUUAGCUAGUUGGUGAGGUAAAGGCUCACCAAGGCGAUGAUACAUAGCCGACCUGAGAGGGGUGUCGGCCAAAUUGGGACUGGGACACGGCCCAAACUCCUACGGGGGGCAGCAGUAGGGGAUCUUCGGCAAUGGACGGAAGUCUGACCGAGCAACGCCGCGUGAGUGAAGGAGGUUUUCGGAUCGUAAAACUCUGUUGGUAGGGAAGAACGUUGGUGAGAGUGGAAAGCUCAUCAAGUGACGGUAACUACCCAGAAAGGGACGGCUAACUACGUG
Molecule: ribosomal RNA, 497 nt
Filed under: uncultured bacterium
Lineage: Bacteria
Description: partial 16S ribosomal RNA
Rfam family: Bacterial small subunit ribosomal RNA
Source: RNAcentral